This 1157-nucleotide long non-coding RNA is filed under the name Olea europaea subsp. europaea. The record is from RNAcentral. Lineage: Eukaryota; Viridiplantae; Streptophyta; Magnoliopsida; Lamiales; Oleaceae.
CGGUCGAGUAGUGACUUAAUUUCUGAAGAAAAAUAUUUUCACAAGGUAUGGCACCCCGAGGGCAAUUAUUAGUGAUGGUGGAAAACAUUUUUGCAACCGCUUAUUUGCUUCGUUGUUGGCCAAAUAUGGAGUGAAACAUCGUGUCUCAACUCCAUACCACCCUCAGACUAGUUGGUAGGUGGAAAUCUCUAAUAGGGAGUUAAAGAAGAUUCUCGAAGCUACGGUCAAUGCAUCACGUAAAGAUUGGGCUAAGAAACUAGACGAUGCACUUUAGGCGUAUAGAACAGCAUUUAAGACUCCAAUUGGCAUGUCUCCAUAUCGACUGGUAUUUGGAAAAGCUUGUCAUCUGCCGGUUGAGUUAGAGCAUAAAGCAUACUGGCGACAUACUUGCUCAAUUUCAAUAUGAGAGCAGUAUGAGAAAAGAGGGUUCUACAACUUCAUGAGCUAGAUAAGUUUCGUUUGGAUUCGAAUGAGAAUGCAAAGAAUUACAAGGAAAAGACUAAGAAAUGGUACGACAGGCAUAUAAGGGAGAAGGUGUUUGAGGUUGGUCAACAAGUAUUGAUAUUCAAUUCACGCCUCAAGCUUUUUUCGGGAAAGCUAAAGUCUAGGUGGUCGGGUCCAUUCACAGUAGUAGCUGUGUUUCCAUAUGGUGCUGUGGAAGUGGUGUCUCAAGAUCAACCAAGGAGGUUCAAAGUAAACGGACAACAGUUGAAAGCUUAUUGGGGAGGUGACUACUUUAGUGAAAAAAAACCCGUACCACUUGAUAAUGUAGAGUAGCCCGGACAACAAAGUCUAGCUAAAGACUAUAAAUUAAGCGCUUAUUGGGAGGCAACCCAAUUUUUAAACAUUUUAUUUAUUUUGUCUCCUGCAUUGCAUUACAUAUAGAUUUGUUUUAAUUAUUAGUUGCAUUAGAUUUAGGCACGUUUAAAUUUAUAGAAUAUCAUCAUCCGAUCAUGUUUUCAUUGAGGCUCUUAAAUAAAAUGUUGAUUAUUUCGAGUGUUUGGGCUAAGUAACGCAUGUUUUGGAUUAUUUGAUCUCUACUGUUUGAUUUGAUUGCCAUAUGUAGGAACAUGACGUCGUGGAACACUCAAAUCAACAUCGACCAAGGGGAAAGCAUGAUGAGAAAGAUUGUCUAGCCGUCACCUACAGUAUCUUCC